CAGCCGCCGCGGUAAUACCGGCGGCCCGAGUGGCGGUCACUAUUAUUGGGCUUAAAGCGUCCCUAGCCGGGUUGGGAAGUCCUCCGGGAAAUCUGGCCGCUUAACGGUCAGAAUGCCGGAGGAUACUCCCAGCCUAGGGAGCGGGAGAGGCCGAGGGGAUUCCCGGAGGAGGGGGGAAAUCCUAUAAUCCCGGGAGGACCGCCUGUGGCGAAGGCGCUCGGCUGGAACGCGUCCGACGGUGAGGGACGAAGGCCAGGGGAGCAAACCGGAUUAGAUACCCGGGUAGUCCUGGCUGUAAACGAUGCGGACUUUGUGUCGGACAAGCUAUGAGCUUGUCCGGUGCCGGAGGGAAACCGUUAAGUCCGCCGCCUGGGGAGUACGGCCGCAAGGCUGAAACUUAAAGGAAUUGGCGGG
RNAcentral lists this ribosomal RNA (414 nucleotides) under uncultured microorganism. RNAcentral's name for it is "bacterial SSU rRNA". It matches the Rfam family "Archaeal small subunit ribosomal RNA", at positions 459 to 872 of the family's 1478-position model. The record is from RNAcentral.